RNAcentral lists this unclassified non-coding RNA (236 nucleotides) under plant metagenome. RNAcentral describes it as "partial contains small subunit ribosomal RNA, internal transcribed spacer 1, and 5.8S ribosomal RNA". The record is from RNAcentral.
UUUCCGUAGGUGAACCUGCGGAAGGAUCAUUACCGAGUGAGGGCCCUCAGGGUCCAACCUCCCACCCGUGUUUAUCGUACCUUGUUGCUUCGGCGGGCCCGCCUCACGGCCGCCGGGGGGCACCCGCCCCCGGGCCCGCGCCCGCCGAAGACACCAUUGAACGCUGUCUGAAGAUUGCAGUCUGAGCAUCUUAGCUAAAUCAGUUAAAACUUUCAACAACGGAUCUCUUGGUUCCG